CUUGAUGUUAACCAGGUUGAAAGAAAAUAUGUGGUCUUUUGCUCCAACAUACAGCCGACUUCGUUCUUCAUCCAAGAGGAAAGUAUGGUAACUGGAACUAUUAGCUAGUCCAUUGAAAUUGACUAUAUUAUUGGACUCCAACAUUUCUUUAUAGGAUAAUUUGAGUCUUGGCACGUUAUUCUUCACAUGCUGGCAGUUCACUCUUCCUGCUAGUAAUACUCCCAAGGAAAGCAAGGCAAUCCCCCUGAGCCAGCCCAUGCUGCAGCAGCCACUGUAGGGUCCCUGCGAGCCGGAGCCGCGGCGCUCCCCGUCCUGCCGGGCGCCGCCGGGGAACUUCAGGCAACCUGGGGAGCGGAGGUAACAGGUGAUGGGGGUGGGCUCCGUGCCCCGCCGCGCCCCGCCGCCGCCGACAGCCGCCCCGGCCCCGCGCCUCUCCUCCGCUGCCUCCGGGGUAACUUCAAGCCCCUCUCACGCACACGCCGCGGGCCGGAAAAGGAGGCAGCCCCCGGGCGCGAGUGGCGUGCGGGCGGGGGGGCGGCAUGAUGCGGGCGGCGGCGGGCGGGCGGCGGCGCGGGCCGGGGGCAGGGGCCGGGGCCGGGGCCGGGCCGGGCCGGGGCUGGCGGGCGCCCCGCUCCCCGCGCGGCGGGCGGGUCCCGGGCGGGAGGGGCGAGCGCGGCGCCGAGGCAGCCCCGCGCUCCCCGCGCACAUGGAGGGAGAGGCGCGGGGGACACCGGUUCUCCCCGCUCUCCCAGGAGCGGCUGACAAUGGGAGCGCAGGGAAGCUCGACCCCCCCCCCCAACCCCCCUUCCCUGCUGUCACAGCACACAUGCAAAGAAAAAAAAAAAAAAAAAAAAGCAAAAAAACAUCGCGGCGGAGAUGAGAGGAGGGAACAGAAACCUCCAGCGAGCUUGGGAAAAGCAGGGAGCUAUAAAUUUCAAGAGGUAUUUUAUGUCAUCGUCCAGGUUUUCGCGUAUUUUUUUUAUUAUUAUUGUUAAUAUUUCAUUUUACGCUUAUAAUUAAAAGGUGUUCGUCCCCCUUGAAAAACAACAGCACAGCUCAAAGCACAAUGUUGCUACCCACAUAAAUAACAUCUUCUGCCCAUAACAUAAUCCUCUUUGGGUCGCUCCCAGCUAGAAACAAGUAACAAAGUCUUCCAUCAGCAUAACUUUACCACCGAAGCUUUUAAAGCCUUGUUAGGGAACGUUGCUCCAACCCUCCCACUCUCCCCACCUCCCGCACUACUCCGGUUCCGCAGAAGAAAUUCCUUGCAAAGCCCACUCCAGCAGUCAGUUCAAGACAUGCACAGGUCUAGGGGGGCUUAUAAAUUACAUUGGAGGAUUCUCUGAAGCAUUCUUAAGUGUUCCAAAGCUACACAUUUCUGAUUAUUUUAACCUUAUAUUUUUACGCAUUAAAGGCAGAUAAAGAGUUUUGUUCAUUUGUUUAAACAAAAGGAUAUACAAAAUCCCCAGAGGUCUUCUAAAUGUUAGAGAGCUGUAAAUACAAACAUGUAAGCAAACUGAAACUCUCCCCUCCCACACAUCUGAACAACCCCUUCCAGUGAGUGAUGGUUAAUUAAAUUUUCUACUCUGAGCUGAAUGUCAAUUUAACAUGAAAUCUGAAAAGUAGUGUCUUACACUGAUAUGUGUCAUGUAUUGGAUUCCUAAAGCAAUAAUGACAGAAAAGUUGGAAAUCAACCUUUACGAAGCACCGUCAUUGUAAGAGAGGAGUGACCUCUGUUUAUUUUGCUCCAUACUUUUCCAUACGAACUCAGACAGUGUGCUGAGGUGUCCGCAGCAUCUAAGUGAUAUUUCUUCCUUCCUUUUUUUUCUUUGGGUUAAAAAUCAGUUGUCUGAUCCCACCAAAGGUGAUCACACUACACUCUGAAUUUUACAGAACGCAGCAUCUAUUUUCUGUGUUCAAACCUAGCUAAUAAGUCAGUGCCUAGGAAGUAUUCCUAACUUUGAAGCUGAAGUUCAUAGUUGCAAAUGCGGGUGUCAGUAUGGUUCUAAUUAAAAUGUAAAGGCUCGUGCAGAACAAGGCUUGGUGCUAUGGUAAAGCAAGAGCAAAAAUUCUGGCAUUGCUGCUUUCAUUCCUUAAUAUUCACACACCAGUGGAAAAGAAGGAGCUUUUCCCCUCUCCUCUUUUAAAAAUUCUUCUGCUUCCUGAGCUUAAUUCAUUAAUUCCGUGGCAUUGUAUCUGACAGAUUCAGCAUUUCUAUUGAUCAACGGCAUUGUUAAGAAAAUAAAAUCCAAAAAUAAUGUUGAUUUUGGUCAUUCCCACACUUGUUAUCCUGAGCAUUUUCAUGCUCCAGGCAGUGGAUUAGAGCCCCAAAAUGACAAGAGAUGCCUGUCUGUUUUCCAUGGAUUACUCGCUACAGACAUUCACUCUGCAAAGGAAUUCAUGUCACUUUGAGAUUAUUUGGAGAAUUGGCCUAAUGAAUUAUCCUUUUGUAUGCAGCAAACAAUUAGAAAUAAAACACAAAAGGUGCACCAUAUUUAGGACUUCACAAAGCGCAUUCUACAAUGUUGUUACACUCAGUAUACUUGUCGUUGCAUAAAGAAGACUCAACUACCUUUUUUUUCUUUUUUUUUUUUUUUUUUCUUUCUCACGUAAGGAAAAGAGAGUAAGAAGAUAAAAUUGCAUCCUUCUAGUGUAGAAUGACUGUGUGACACUCCAGGCUAUUUUCCACCAACCAAGUAAAUAAAUCAUGGUCCCCAGCCAAUAUAUAUUUUGCUCAGAAAACAUGUGGAUCAAAUACAAUGAGUCAUAACUUAUCAAAGACUGUGAUUUUAGAGAUAGAACAUUAUUUUAAGAGAGGUGAGAGAUGCUAUCUCUUUGCAGCCUUUAUGUGUAAGACCACUCACAUUUUGCCUUCCUCUGUGGAAUAUGCCAGACCAAAGAGAAGGGUAAAAUCUGACCCUCUGGGUCCUCCUCCUGCUAUUUAGCUCUAAGUAGUGCUAAUCAGCUAGUCAGGCUAGCAUAUGCUACACCCCCUUAAAAGGAGAGGGGCAAUGGCAGCACUUCAGUGAUGUUUGAAGAGGCUUUAUAUCUCAAAGACACCCAUUGCCAUAUGGUGCUUCUGCCAAGGCAAAACUGGGCUCUGCUUGGAAGGAAUUAUUUGGCCAACAUGCCUACAGCAAGUGCCAGAAACGUCAACUCUGGUAAUUCAGGGUCGGCAACAACUCACUUUCAAAUGACAAACCAUUCACCUUUUUUCUUUGGUCUUUUGAAAGUGAUCUAACUGUUGAGUUUGGAGGGAGGGGAAAGUAAAAUCCCAGCUUUCCUUGGUUUUUCAAAUAAUAUCCUUCUCCCCUGAAGUAGACCUCAGUUUUUAGCUUAAUUAUUCCAUUAUUACUCUGUGAGUUCAAAAGAAACAACAGUUCUUCUCCAUCAUUUCCCAUAGCUGUUGCAGGCUUUAUUUUUGUUUUCUGUAACAGCAUUUAUAUGCCAUUCUAUACAGUGUUUUACUUCCCAAAAGCCAGAUAGGCACUUGCGGGUUCUGUGUAAUGUUUCUGGUCUCAUGCUGUGUGUCAUUAUUAUUUGGAGAUUUUUAUACUGCCUUUUAAUAUGCGCAACAAGUUUACGUUGAUAGAUCCUAUAAAAAACGUUUUCUUGGAUGUGUCUGGGCUUUUACUGCUGACCAUUUGUGCAGAAUUAUUCUUUCAAACACUUAGAAAGUUGGCAUCAUUUGGUGCUUCUCAUUAGUCAGAAACAGUCUUACUUGACUCAUGAUUACUGCAAAUCUUCUUGCUGCUGCUCUCAUUUUUACACGUAGAAGCUCUUGAAAUCUUAGCUGCUCUAAGAACAUCUUCAUUGUACUUUAAGAAUGUACUUAUGUUCUCAGAAUUGUUUCCUGUAUCUCAGAUGAGUCAUUACUUGUUUAUAUCGAUACAAUCAGAUUCUUCUCAGAAAUACGUGGGAAUUAGCAGCAUCCAAAUUCAAUAGGCAGUACUUGUCUAGCAGUAUAAGAUUUCUUAGGUUUAUUAUGCAUGUUCUGGGCAACAUCAGAGAAAAAAAAAACAAAACAACCAAAAAACAAACAAACAAACAACAACAACAACAAAAAACACCACCACCACAACAACAAAACCUCAUAUUGUAUCUGAACGUUAAAAAUCUCUUUAUAGGACACACUCCUGUAGGAAACGCAAAAUUCUACCUCAGAUACACUCUUUGCUGUUUCCUCCCAUAGCAGGUGAGUUGCCAGAUAAGCAGAAUAUUUACAAUUCUGCACAGGGUCCCUUUGAAAUUGUUCCAGUUGUAUACAUAAUGAUUCUUGUAACAGACUUUAGAAUAACUGAAUAAUUAUUGGCCCAAAGGAGCCUCAGCCUAGAGCUCAAUUAUAAAUAAAUACACUUGUCAUGUGAUGUGUGAGACGCUCAGGAUGCAGUUUUGCAACACAUUGAGUUCAGAAGAAAAAUAGUUCAGAAGAAAAAUUCCAUUUUAAGAAGAUCCAGACCUCAGCUGCCACAUUCUGUUUUUACGUCACAGUUGUCCGCUUUUUAUUUGGGAUCCUACAGACAUUUUAGUGGGGACAUUCCAGAAACAUGAUGAUGAUAAUGAUGAUGAUAAUAAUAAUAAUAAUAAAGUAAUCUUUAUGGGGAUUGCUUUUCAUGCAGAUACAGUGCAAGCUAAUGGAGCAGAAAGAAUUAUGAACAGGCAUUGGGAUAAAGCUGAGUAAGCAGAAAUGCAGAGGAACUGUAGACGUUGGCCUCACUUCUGAAGGCAGCAUAUGAUGAAGCUCUACAGUUAGGUUCAAAUCCUUUGCCUAUGUCAGACAGGAACCUAAACCUGGAGACAAUUUGACAGUGUUGCUCUUCUGGGUUGACAUGAGUACUCUUCUCUCUUUGAUAUGCAAUGAGGGAAAAAAAGGAAAAAGAAAAAAAGAAAAAAAGAAAAGAAAAGAAACCUAUAAAAAGCCUGUAUGGUGAAGAUAAAUACUUUUGAUAUCCAGAUCUGCUGAACUGAGUAUAGGAUCAUUUUUUUUAACAGUGUUGAUGAUUAUCAGACUAGUUCAAGAUGUCGUAAAUUGCUGCUUCCACCUGGAACUUAAAAGGAUUUAAAAUUCAGUGGAGUGGCGGUUUUUCAGUUCUGAAGCAAUAAGGGAGCAAAACUGCUUAAAAUGCAUCAGCAUAAAGCAGAUAAGGGUGUAAAUUUUAACAUUUUAUCAAGCUAGAGUUGCUAAGAUCACUAGUUAGCACCUAGACCUGGAAAUAUCCUUGCUGUUAGAAGUCUAGACGUGUCUUUCCCCAGCUCUCCCUUGGGCUAUAUUGCAUUUGGUAGCCUUAUAUGAAUCACCUGAAUCUACAUAAAUCUGUAACAUUUCUUAUUAUUGUAUGUGAUCAAGUUGUUAACCCAAGUCAGUUAGUACCUGCCUUCUCUCAAUAACACUGCAUCUUGCCAUCUUGUCACAAUCAACUUUUCCUUCAAUUCUCAGGACUAAUGAGACUGUUCUACAUGUGAUGUUUGUGCUUUUGGCAGCAUAAUGGGAUCUGUAUCAGUAUGAUGUGUUUUAUUCACAAUGCUUUCAGGUCUAUUAAACACCUCAUCAAAUUCUUCAAAAAUAUUCUUUGCAUCCUGUUCUGUAGACAGGUUAUAUGUCCGUCUGAACAGCAGCAUUUACAAAUAACUCUUUGAACCUAAACAAACCUUUUCUAUUCCCUUGGCCUCAACUGCUUGAUGUUCAUCUUCAUAAUCAAGUAUACAUGAACUAUGAUAUCCAGAGCCAUAGUAAGAAACUCACCUUAAUAGAUCAGUGCCAAGCAUGUAACAUUAAUAGCAGUAACAAAAAGCUUAUUUU
This 5800-nucleotide long non-coding RNA is filed under the name Gallus gallus (chicken). Lineage: Eukaryota; Metazoa; Chordata; Aves; Galliformes; Phasianidae. The record is from RNAcentral.